CUCCCGUGCAGCCAUCAGCUCAACCUCAAGGGAGCUGAUCUUGGAAGCCUAGGUCCAAGAUCGAUUACUGGCACAUUUUUGGAAUUCCUCAAGCUCCUUCACGAAGUCAGCCUUCCUCCGGGUGUAGUCCAUGAAGCCCUUUUUGUGGAGGUUCCGAAAGCGAGUAGCCUCCGCAGUGGCUUCCGAAUGGCUCUUCCUCAGUCGGUGAAGUUUGUCAUCCAACUUCUUUGAUUUCUUCGUUAGAUGACGAACUUCCCUUCUUAGAUCCCGGAUCGUCGACUUCAAAGGGAUCCCCUGUGGCAGGGGAAGAGCUUCGGCAGGUCACUGUUGUUGGGAGACAAGAGCGUCACAACACAAAUCAGUGCAAAAAAAUAAAAGAGAAGAAAAAGAAUGCAGAAUAAAAAAAGGAAGCUCUCUGUAAAGAAGAAUAUGAUUUCAUUGAUUAAAUAGUUCUUAAGUACAAGAGAAUGAAGAAAAGUCGCAACAAAGGAAAAAAUAUACAAAAUUAGAGGUUUCGGACCUCUGAGGCAGA
This 532-nucleotide long non-coding RNA is filed under the name Elaeis guineensis (African oil palm). RNAcentral's name for it is "long non-coding RNA (EGUI_LNC072084)". The record is from RNAcentral. Lineage: Eukaryota; Viridiplantae; Streptophyta; Magnoliopsida; Arecales; Arecaceae.